RNAcentral lists this ribosomal RNA (465 nucleotides) under Vreelandella stevensii. RNAcentral's name for it is "partial 16S ribosomal RNA". It matches the Rfam family "Bacterial small subunit ribosomal RNA", at positions 338 to 795 of the family's 1533-position model. Lineage: Bacteria; Pseudomonadati; Pseudomonadota; Gammaproteobacteria; Oceanospirillales; Halomonadaceae. The record is from RNAcentral.
CCUACGGGUGGCUGCAGUGGGGAAUAUUGGACAAUGGGCGAAAGCCUGAUCCAGCCAUGCCGCGUGUGUGAAGAAGGCCUUCGGGUUGUAAAGCACUUUCAGUGGGGAAGAAAGCCUUGGGGCUAAUACCCUCGAGGAAGGACAUCACCCACAGAAGAAGCACCGGCUAACUCCGUGCCAGCAGCCGCGGUAAUACGGAGGGUGCGAGCGUUAAUCGGAAUUACUGGGCGUAAAGCGCGCGUAGGCGGUCUGAUAAGCCGGUUGUGAAAGCCCCGGGCUCAACCUGGGAACGGCAUCCGGAACUGUCAGGCUAGAGUGCAGGAGAGGAAGGUAGAAUUCCCGGUGUAGCGGUGAAAUGCGUAGAGAUCGGGAGGAAUACCAGUGGCGAAGGCGGCCUUCUGGACUGACACUGACGCUGAGGUGCGAAAGCGUGGGUAGCAAACAGGAUUAGAUACCCCUGUCGUC